This 2180-nucleotide ribosomal RNA is filed under the name Bacillus thuringiensis serovar argentinensis. RNAcentral describes it as "bacterial LSU rRNA". It matches the Rfam family "Bacterial large subunit ribosomal RNA", at positions 1 to 2180 of the family's 2925-position model. The record is from RNAcentral. Lineage: Bacteria; Bacillati; Bacillota; Bacilli; Caryophanales; Bacillaceae.
UUUGGUUAAGUUAGAAAGGGCGCACGGUGGAUGCCUUGACACUAGGAGUCGAUGAAGGACGGGACUAACGCCGAUAUGCUUCGGGGAGCUGUAAGUAAGCUUUGAUCCGAAGAUUUCCGAAUGGGGAAACCCACCAUACGUAAUGGUAUGGUAUCCUUGCCUGAAUACAUAGGGUAAGGAAGACAGACCCAGGGAACUGAAACAUCUAAGUACCUGGAGGAAGAGAAAGCAAAUGCGAUUUCCUGAGUAGCGGCGAGCGAAACGGAACAUAGCCCAAACCAAGAGGCUUGCCUCUUGGGGUUGUAGGACAUUCUAUACGGAGUUACAAAGGAACGAGGUAGACGAAGCGACCUGGAAAGGUCCGUCGUAGAGGGUAACAACCCCGUAGUCGAAACUUCGUUCUCUCUUGAAUGUAUCCUGAGUACGGCGGAACACGUGAAAUUCCGUCGGAAUCUGGGAGGACCAUCUCCCAAGGCUAAAUACUCCCUAGUGAUCGAUAGUGAACCAGUACCGUGAGGGAAAGGUGAAAAGCACCCCGGAAGGGGAGUGAAAGAGAUCCUGAAACCGUGUGCCUACAAAUAGUCAGAGCCCGUUAAUGGGUGAUGGCGUGCCUUUUGUAGAAUGAACCGGCGAGUUACGAUCCCGUGCGAGGUUAAGCUGAAGAGGCGGAGCCGCAGCGAAAGCGAGUCUGAAUAGGGCGUUUAGUACGUGGUCGUAGACCCGAAACCAGGUGAUCUACCCAUGUCCAGGGUGAAGUUCAGGUAACACUGAAUGGAGGCCCGAACCCACGCACGUUGAAAAGUGCGGGGAUGAGGUGUGGGUAGCGGAGAAAUUCCAAUCGAACCUGGAGAUAGCUGGUUCUCCCCGAAAUAGCUUUAGGGCUAGCCUUAAGUGUAAGAGUCUUGGAGGUAGAGCACUGAUUGAACUAGGGGUCCUCAUCGGAUUACCGAAUUCAGUCAAACUCCGAAUGCCAAUGACUUAUCCUUAGGAGUCAGACUGCGAGUGAUAAGAUCCGUAGUCAAGAGGGAAACAGCCCAGAUCGCCAGCUAAGGUCCCAAAGUGUGUAUUAAGUGGAAAAGGAUGUGGAGUUGCUUAGACAACUAGGAUGUUGGCUUAGAAGCAGCCACCAUUUAAAGAGUGCGUAAUAGCUCACUAGUCGAGUGACUCUGCGCCGAAAAUGUACCGGGGCUAAAUACACCACCGAAGCUGCGAAUUGAUACCAAUGGUAUCAGUGGUAGGGGAGCGUUCUAAGUGCAGUGAAGUCAGACCGGAAGGACUGGUGGAGCGCUUAGAAGUGAGAAUGCCGGUAUGAGUAGCGAAAGACGGGUGAGAAUCCCGUCCACCGAAUGCCUAAGGUUUCCUGAGGAAGGCUCGUCCGCUCAGGGUUAGUCAGGACCUAAGCCGAGGCCGACAGGCGUAGGCGAUGGACAACAGGUUGAUAUUCCUGUACCACCUCUUUAUCGUUUGAGCAAUGGAGGGACGCAGAAGGAUAGAAGAAGCGUGCGAUUGGUUGUGCACGUCCAAGCAGUUAGGCUGAUAAGUAGGCAAAUCCGCUUAUCGUGAAGGCUGAGCUGUGAUGGGGAAGCUCCUUAUGGAGCGAAGUCUUUGAUUCCCCGCUGCCAAGAAAAGCUUCUAGCGAGAUAAAAGGUGCCUGUACCGCAAACCGACACAGGUAGGCGAGGAGAGAAUCCUAAGGUGUGCGAGAGAACUCUGGUUAAGGAACUCGGCAAAAUGACCCCGUAACUUCGGGAGAAGGGGUGCUUUCUUAACGGAAAGCCGCAGUGAAUAGGCCCAAGCGACUGUUUAGCAAAAACACAGGUCUCUGCGAAGCCGUAAGGCGAAGUAUAGGGGCUGACACCUGCCCGGUGCUGGAAGGUUAAGGAGAGGGGUUAGCGUAAGCGAAGCUCUGAACUGAAGCCCCAGUAAACGGCGGCCGUAACUAUAACGGUCCUAAGGUAGCGAAAUUCCUUGUCGGGUAAGUUCCGACCCGCACGAAAGGUGUAACGAUUUGGGCACUGUCUCAACCAGAGACUCGGUGAAAUUAUAGUACCUGUGAAGAUGCAGGUUACCCGCGACAGGACGGAAAGACCCCGUGGAGCUUUACUGUAGCCUGAUAUUGAAUUUUGGUACAGUUUGUACAGGAUAGGCGGGAGCCAUUGAAACCGGAGCGCUAGCUUCGG